This 519-nucleotide ribosomal RNA is filed under the name uncultured eukaryote. Its description in RNAcentral is "SSU rRNA". It matches the Rfam family "Eukaryotic small subunit ribosomal RNA", at positions 1161 to 1699 of the family's 1831-position model. The record is from RNAcentral.
AGGGCACCACCAGGAGUGGAGCCUGCGGCUUAAUUUGACUCAACACGGGAAAACUCACCCGGCCCGGACACUGGAAGGAUUGACAGAUUGAGAGCUCUUUCUUGAUUCAGUGGGUGGUGGUGCAUGGCCGUUCUUAGUUGGUGGAGUGAUUUGUCUGGUUAAUUCCGAUAACGAACGAGACUCUAGCCUACUAAAUAGAUCGUCGGCUUACAAACGCCGACGAGACUUCUUAGAGGGACAGGCGGUGAUUCAACCGCACGAAACAGAGCAAUAACAGGUCUGUGAUGCCCUUAGAUGUCCGGGGCCGCACGCGCGCUACACUGAAGUGAUCAGCGUGCUUUUUCAACCUACUCUGUCAAGAGUGGGGAACCCAAUGAACCUUCUUCGUGAUUGGGAUAGGGGAUUGUAAUUAUUCCCCUUGAACGAGGAAUUCCCAGUAAGCGCGGGUCAUAAGCUCGCGUUGAUUACGUCCCUGCCCUUUGUACACACCGCCCGUCGCUACUACCGAUUGAAUGUUUU